GCAGCUUUACACAUGCAAGUCCAACGGUAACAGGCUAGCUUGCUAGUGCUGACGAGUGGCGGACGGGUGAGUAACGCGUAGGAAUCUACCCAGUUGUGGGGGAUAGCCCGGAGAAAUCCGGAUUAAUACCGCAUACGCCCUACGGGGGAAAACAGGGGAUCUUCGGACCUUGUGCAAUUGGAUGAGCCUGCGUUAGAUUAGCUGGUUGGUGGGGUAAAGGCCUACCAAGGCGACGAUCUAUAGCUGGUCUGAGAGGAUGAUCAGCCACAUCGGGACUGAGACACGGCCCGGACUCCUACGGGAGGCAGCAGUGGGGAAUAUUGGACAAUGGGCGCAAGCCUGAUCCAGCAAUGCCGCGUGUGUGAAGAAGGCCUUCGGGUUGUAAAGCACUUUCAAUUGUGAAGAAGGGGUUAGUAUUAAUACUGCUGACCUUUGACGUUAACUUUAGAAGAAGCACCGGCUAACUCCGUGCCAGCAGCCGCGGUAAUACGGAGGGUGCAAGCGUUAAUCGGAAUUACUGGGCGUAAAGCGCGCGUAGGCGGUUGUUUAAGUCAGAUGUGAAAGCCCCGGGCUCAACCUGGGAAUGGCCUCUGAUACUGGAUAACUAGAGUUUGGGAGAGGGGAGUAGAAUUUCAGGUGUAGCGGUGAAAUGCAUAGAUAUCUGAAGGAAUACCAGUGGCGAAGGCGACUCCCUGGCCUAAAACUGACGCUGAGGUGCGA
This 720-nucleotide ribosomal RNA is filed under the name marine gamma proteobacterium Fun-110. RNAcentral describes it as "bacterial SSU rRNA". It matches the Rfam family "Bacterial small subunit ribosomal RNA", at positions 42 to 756 of the family's 1533-position model. Lineage: Bacteria; Pseudomonadati; Pseudomonadota; Gammaproteobacteria. The record is from RNAcentral.